UCGGGUUGUAAAGCACUUUUGUCCGGAAAGAAAACUUCUGCCCUAAUACGGCGGGAGGAUGACGGUACCGGAAGAAUAAGCACCGGCUAACUACGUGCCAGCAGCGCGGUAAUCGUAGGGUGCGAGCGUUAAUCGGAAUUACUGGGCGUAAAGCGUGCGCAGGCGGUUCGUUAAGACAGAUGUGAAAUCCCCGGGCUUAACCUGGGAACUGCAUUUGUGACUGGCGAGCUAGAGUAUGGCAGAGGGGGGUAGAAUUCCACGUGUAGCAGUGAAAUGCGUAGAGAUGUGGAGGAAUACCGAUGGCGAAGGCAGCCCCCUGGGCCAAUACUGACGCUCAUGCACGAAAGCGUGGGGAGCAAACAAGAUUAGAUACCCUGGUAGUCCACGCCCUAAACGAUGUCAACUAGUUGUUGGGUCUUCAUUGACUUAGUAACGUAGCUAACGCGUGAAGUUGACCGCCUGGGGAGUACGGUCGCAAGAUUAAAACUCAAAGGAAUUGACGGGGACCCGCACAAGCGGUGGAUGAUGUGGAUUAAUUCGAUGCAACGCGAAAAACCUUACCUACCCUUGACAUGGUCGGAACCCUGCUG
RNAcentral lists this ribosomal RNA (590 nucleotides) under uncultured Burkholderia sp. Its description in RNAcentral is "bacterial SSU rRNA". It matches the Rfam family "Bacterial small subunit ribosomal RNA", at positions 418 to 1003 of the family's 1533-position model. Lineage: Bacteria; Pseudomonadati; Pseudomonadota; Betaproteobacteria; Burkholderiales; Burkholderiaceae. The record is from RNAcentral.